This 1136-nucleotide unclassified non-coding RNA is filed under the name Leishmania donovani. RNAcentral's name for it is "gene:LdHU3.13.1240(CDS-product:DNA-directed_RNA_p olymerase_I_subunit_putative)". The record is from RNAcentral. Lineage: Eukaryota; Euglenozoa; Kinetoplastea; Trypanosomatida; Trypanosomatidae.
UCCCUUUCCAACAAUGAUCAUCCCCGUGCGCUGCUUCACGUGCGGCAAUGUCAUUGCCGACAAGUAUCUUCUCUACCUUGACCUUGUCAGCCAAGGCGUCUCCGAGGAGGACGCGAUGAACGUCUUCCACCUAGAGCGUUUCUGCUGCCGCCGCAUGAUGCUCACCCACGUGGACAUGACGGACCUGCUCCUCAAAUUCAAUCCGGCCGACACGAACGUGCUGGGAACUGCCUCCGUAGCGGCGGCGGCCGGGGAGGACGACGGCGCUGUGGGCAUGCCGUAGCAGAGACGACUCUCAGCCGCUCAUCGCGUCCGUGCAGGAAUGAUCUGAAUUCGUCCGUGGGCGGCCUGCGCGCUCACCAUGAUCUCAAGAGUCGGCAAGUGUUCGUCAGUGUAGUGAUCCUCUGUGCCUCUCCCUCUCUCGUGUUGUUGUGCCUACGUGUGUGUGUGUGUGUGUGUGCCGGUGUGUGUCGCUGCCGUGCGAAAUCACGAAGUGAAAAUGAAUGGCGCCAUCAAGCGAUCGCAAGUACCGAAGACCAACGCUAAAAGAGGGGAGGGGUAGGGGGGCUGUGGUGCUCUUUGACUCCAGCGGCAUGCAUAUACACCUAUGCAUGUGUAUGUGUAUGUGUGUGUGUGUGUGUGUGCGUGUCACACAGAGAAGGAGACGGCCUCUGAUGACCAUUCGACGGUGGCCAGCUCGAUGGACGCGCGAAAAAAAAAGGGAGCUCGAGGGUCGGUGUGGGCAGAGGAGGAGGGGUGAUUGAGCACAAGCACACAGGCACAGAAACAGACAGGGCAAGGCGUGGGCAGUGACGGAGAAGUGAGCGGAGUCGAUGCUUCUCCGACUAGCCAAAACCAUCCCCCUCCCACACACACACGCACACCUCUGUCUGCUGUCGCCCCUCUCUUGUGCCGCCCCUUUCCUUUUCUCUCUCUCUCCCUCUGCUCUGUUUCGACCCCCCUCCCCCUCCCUCGCCGCCUCCCCGAGGGCACGCCAUGAAGCAUGAACUUGCAAGCAUGCCCAUCCACACACACACACACACAGAUCCCUUCCCUCUCUGCCUGCCCCUCUCUUGCUUGCAUGCUCGGCUUAGUUGGGCACCCCUCCCCAUUUCCCGCCCGAUCAUUGCUUGAAG